RNAcentral lists this ribosomal RNA (839 nucleotides) under uncultured archaeon. RNAcentral describes it as "bacterial SSU rRNA". It matches the Rfam family "Archaeal small subunit ribosomal RNA", at positions 21 to 859 of the family's 1478-position model. The record is from RNAcentral.
AGGUUACUGCUAUCGGUGUUCGCCUAAGCCAUGCGAGUCAUAUGUUCUUCGUGAACAUGGCGUACUGCUCAGUAACACGUGGAUAACCUGCCCUUGGGUCCGGCAUAACCCCGGGAAACUGGGGAUAAUUCCGGAUAACGCAUAUAUGCUGGAAUGCUUUCUGCGUAAAAUGGAUUCGUCUGCCCAAGGAUGGGUCUGCGGCCUAUCAGGUAGUAGUGGGUGUAAUGUACCUACUAGCCGACGACGGGUACGGGUUGUGAGAGCAAGAGCCCGGAGAUGGAUUCUGAGACAUGAAUCCAGGCCCUACGGGGCGCAGCAGGCGCGAAAACUUUACAAUGCGGGAAACCGUGAUAAGGGGACACCGAGUGCCAGCAUCCUAUGCUGGCUGUCCGGGUGUGUAAAAUACACCUGUUAGCAAGGGCCGGGCAAGACCGGUGCCAGCCGCCGCGGUAACACCGGCGGCCCGAGUGGUGAUCGUGAUUAUUGGGUCUAAAGGGUCCGUAGCCGGUUUGGUCAGUCCUCCGGGAAAUCUGACAGCUUAACUGUUAGGCUUUCGGAGGAUACUGCCAGACUUGGAACCGGGAGAGGUAAGAGGUACUACAGGGGUAGGAGUGAAAUCUUGUAAUCCCUGUGGGACCACCUGUGGCGAAGGCGUCUUACCAGAACGGGUUCGACGGUGAGGGACGAAAGCUGGGGGCACGAACCGGAUUAGAUGCCCGGGUAGUCCCAGCCGUAAACGAUGCUCGCUAGGUGUCAGGCAUGGCGCGACCGUGUCUGGUGCCGCAGGGAAGCCGUGAAGCGAGCCACCUGGGAAGUACGGCCGCAAGGCUGAAACUUAA